CCUGCCCCUAGAGGCCUUGCAGGUGCGGCUGCUGUGUCACAGGUGUGUCAGUAGGUGGCAGAGAGGAGAGAGGCUGUGUCUGCACUCAGUGGCUGCUCAGGGGCUAGCCUCAGAGGACCAUCAGUCUGGCCCC
Small nucleolar RNA from Apodemus sylvaticus (European woodmouse), 133 nucleotides. RefSeq annotates it as small nucleolar RNA SNORA17. The transcript has a single exon. Lineage: Eukaryota; Metazoa; Chordata; Mammalia; Rodentia; Muridae. The record is from RefSeq and is a predicted model, not a curated record.